AACGAACGCUGGCGGCAGGCCUAACACAUGCAAGUCGAAAGGAUGUAGCAAUACAUUAGUGGCGCACGGGUGCGUAACACGUGGGAAUGUACCCCAGGGUAAGGAAUAAUGUCUGGAAACGGACACUAAUACCUUAUAAUGACUUUGGUCCAAAGAUUUAUCGCCCUGGGAUCAGCCCGCGCCUGAUUAGCUAGUUGGUGAGGCAAUGGCUCACCAAGGCUACGAUCAGUAGCUGGUCUGAGAGGAUGAUCAGCCACACUGGAACUGAGACACGGUCCAGACUCCUACGGGAGGCAGCAGUGAGGAAUAUUGCAAAAUGGAGGAAACUCUGAUGCAGCCAUGCCGCGUGAGUGAAGAAGGCCUUCGGGUUGUAAAGCUCUUUUAGUCGUGAAGAUAAUGACGGUAGCGACAGAAAAAGCCCCGGCUAAAUUCGUGCCAGCCGCCGCGGUAA
This 451-nucleotide ribosomal RNA is filed under the name uncultured bacterium. RNAcentral describes it as "partial 16S ribosomal RNA". It matches the Rfam family "Bacterial small subunit ribosomal RNA", at positions 29 to 523 of the family's 1533-position model. The record is from RNAcentral.